AGUAAAGUCAGCUAAAUAAGCUCUCGGGCCCAUACCCCGAAAAUGUUGGUCUCCAACCCCUCCUAUACUA
This 70-nucleotide transfer RNA is filed under the name Carphodactylus laevis. RNAcentral's name for it is "tRNA-Met". Lineage: Eukaryota; Metazoa; Chordata; Lepidosauria; Squamata; Carphodactylidae. The record is from RNAcentral.